Molecule: ribosomal RNA, 253 nt
Filed under: uncultured bacterium
Lineage: Bacteria
Description: partial 16S ribosomal RNA
Rfam family: Bacterial small subunit ribosomal RNA
Source: RNAcentral
GACGGAGGAUGCAAGCGUUGUCCGGAAUGAUUGGGCGUAAAGCGAUCGCAGGUGGCUGUUCAAGUCUGCUGUCAAAGACCGGGGCUUAACCCCAGAAAGGCAGUGGAAACUGAACGGCUGGAGUGCAGAUCGGGUAGAGGGAAUUCCCAGUGUAGCGGUAAAAUGCGUAGAGAUUGGGAAGAACACCGGUGGCGAAAGCGCUCUGCUGGACUGCAACUGACACUGAGGGACGAAAGCUAGGGGAGCGAAAGGG